Molecule: ribosomal RNA, 423 nt
Filed under: uncultured archaeon
Lineage: Archaea
Description: partial 16S ribosomal RNA
Rfam family: Archaeal small subunit ribosomal RNA
Source: RNAcentral
CUACGGGGUGCUGCAGGCGCGAAACCUUUACAAUGCACGAAAGUGUGAUAAGGGAAUCCCAAGUGCUUUACUUUUAGUAAGGCUUUUGCCAAGAGUAAAUAUCUUGGCGAAUAAGUGGUGGGUAAGACUUGUGCCAGCCGCCGCGGUAACACCAGCGCCACAAGUGUGUAACCACAAUUAUUGGGCCUAAAGCGUCCGUAGCCGGCUUGGUAAAUUUUCUGUGAAAUCGUUAGGCUUAACUUAACGACGCGCAGGAAACACUGCUAAGCUUGAGACCGGGAGGCGUCAGAGGUAUUCCUGAGGGAGCGGUAAAAUGCUAUAAUCUCAGGAGGACCCCCUGUGGCGAAGGCGUCUGACGAGAACGGUUCUGACGGUGAGGGACGAAAGCUAGGGGAGCGAACCGGAUUAGAUACCCGCGUAGUC